Long non-coding RNA from Centrocercus urophasianus (Greater sage-grouse), 229 nucleotides. RefSeq lists it as uncharacterized. The record is from RefSeq and is a predicted model, not a curated record. NCBI's taxonomy places the organism in Eukaryota, Metazoa, Chordata, Aves, Galliformes, Phasianidae. The transcript has 3 exons.
AAUAGAGAGAGUGGAGCUCAAGGAUGUCAGCUGUGAGGUGAAAACUGGAUUUUCUGACAAAAAUGACAAUCUGAAUCUCGAAAUGAUGGAAAGAUGCCUGCAGCCUCCUUGGAUGGAAUAACUGAGAUACUGUCUGUGAACUGCAUGCAAAGGAACACCACGAGCACAAGCAGUAGGCAAAAUUUGAGAUUUGUGAGCAGAGAAAAGGAAUCCAUGCUGCCCCUGCAAG